Molecule: non-coding RNA, 77 nt
Organism: Trichonephila clavipes
Lineage: Eukaryota; Metazoa; Arthropoda; Arachnida; Araneae; Nephilidae
Source: the annotation of a GenBank genome assembly
GGUUCCGUAGUGUAAUUAGUUUAUCACAUUUGCUUUACACGCGAAAGGUCUCCGGUUCGAUCCCGGACCCGGAACCA